This is a transfer RNA of Ipomoea nil (Japanese morning glory), 77 nucleotides long. It matches the Rfam family "tRNA". Rfam says of the family: Transfer RNA (tRNA) molecules are approximately 80 nucleotides in length. Lineage: Eukaryota; Viridiplantae; Streptophyta; Magnoliopsida; Solanales; Convolvulaceae. The record is from Rfam.
GCUAGAAUAGCUCAGUUGGUUAAAAUGUGUGGCUUGUAACCCCAACAAGGUUAGAGGUUCAAGCCCUCUUUUUAGCG